GUGCCAGCCGCCGCGGUAAUUCCAGCUCCAAUAGCGUAUAUUAAAGUUGUUGUGGUUAAAAAGCUCGUAGUUGAACCUUGGGCCUGGCUGGCCGGUCCGCCUCACCGCGUGCACUGGUCCGGCCGGGCCUUUCCCUCUGUGGAACCCCAUACCCUUCACUGGGCGUGGCGGGGAAACAGGACAUUUACUUUGAAAAAAUUAGAGUGCUCCAGGCAGGCCUAUGCUCGAAUACAUUAGCAUGGAAUAAUAAAAUAGGACGCGCGGUUCUAUUUUGUUGGUUUAUAGGACCGCCGUAAUGAUUAAUAGGGACAGUCGGGGGCAUCAGUAUUCAACUGUCAGAGGUGAAAUUCUUGGAUCAGUUGAAGACUAACUACUGCGAAAGCAUUUGCCAAGGAUGUUUUCAUUAAUCAGGAACGAAAGUUAGGGGAUCGAAGACGAUCAGAUACCGUCGUAGUCUUAACCAUAAACUAUGCCGACUAGGGAUCGGACGGUGUUAUUCAUGACCCGUUCGGCACCUUACGAGAAAUCAAAGUGCUUGGGCUCCAGGGGGAGUAUGGUCGCAAGGCUGAAACUUAAAGAAAUUGACGGAAGGGCACCACCAGGGGUGGAGCCUGCGGCUUAAUUUGACUCAACACGGGGAAACUCACCAGGUCCAGACACAAUAAGGAUUGACAGAUUGAGAGCUCUUUCUUGAUUUUGUGGGUGGUGGUGCAUGGCCGUUCUUAGUUGGUGGGGUGACUUGUCUGCUUAAUUGCGAUAACGAACGAGACCUUAACCUGCUAAAUAGCCCGCAUUGCUCCGGCAGUGCGCUGGCUUCUUAGAGGGACUUUC
RNAcentral lists this ribosomal RNA (831 nucleotides) under uncultured Ascomycota. RNAcentral describes it as "SSU rRNA". It matches the Rfam family "Eukaryotic small subunit ribosomal RNA", at positions 564 to 1424 of the family's 1831-position model. The record is from RNAcentral. Lineage: Eukaryota; Fungi; Ascomycota.